RNAcentral lists this ribosomal RNA (469 nucleotides) under uncultured bacterium. RNAcentral describes it as "partial 16S ribosomal RNA". It matches the Rfam family "Bacterial small subunit ribosomal RNA", at positions 28 to 507 of the family's 1533-position model. The record is from RNAcentral.
GACGAACGCUGGCGGCGUGCUUAACACAUGCAAGUCGAACGGAAAGGCCCUGCUUGCAGGGUGCUCGAGUGGCGAACGGGUGAGUAACACGUGGGUGAUCUGCCCCUUACUUUGGGAUAAGCCUGGUAAACUGGGUCUAAUACUGGAUAGGACCAUGCUGUAGGUGGUGUGUUGGAAAGAGUAGUUUCGGUAAGGGAUGAGAUCGCGGCCGAUCAGCUUGUUGGUGGGUUACUGGCCUACCAAGGCGUCGACGGGUAGCCGGCCUGAGAGGGUGGACGGCAAGAUCGGGACUGCGACACGGCGCAGAAUCAGACGGGAGGCAGCAGUGGGGAAAAUUGCACAAUGGGAGCACGCCUGAUGUAGCGACGCUGCGCGGGGGAUGACGCCCUUCGGGUUGUAAAGUACUUUCAGCAAUGAAGAAGCCCUUGUGGUGACGGUAGUGGUAGAAGAAGCACCGGCUAACUACGUG